UUGAACGCUGGCGGCAUGCCUUACACAUGCAAGUCGAACGGUAGAGGGGCAACCCUUGAGAGUGGCGAACGGGUGAGUAAUAUAUCGGAACGUGCCCAGUCGUGGGGGAUAACGCAGCGAAAGCUGCGCUAAUACCGCAUACGAUCUAUGGAUGAAAGCGGGGGAUCGCAAGACCUCGCGCGAUUGGAGCGGCCGAUAACAGAUUAGGUAGUUGGUGGGGUAAAA
RNAcentral lists this ribosomal RNA (225 nucleotides) under uncultured bacterium. Its description in RNAcentral is "partial 16S ribosomal RNA". It matches the Rfam family "Bacterial small subunit ribosomal RNA", at positions 30 to 262 of the family's 1533-position model. The record is from RNAcentral.